Long non-coding RNA from Aegilops tauschii subsp. strangulata, 2230 nucleotides. RefSeq lists it as uncharacterized. The record is from RefSeq and is a predicted model, not a curated record. Lineage: Eukaryota; Viridiplantae; Streptophyta; Magnoliopsida; Poales; Poaceae.
GAGAACUUAACUGGGCCGUUGGGAAUGCACGUGCGCACACAUGAGCAGGGUCCAUCCCUAUCCCCACCGGAUCCAGUCGCACCCCCACUCAGCCGUCUCUUGCCCCAAUCCGAGUACUCUUUGUACCUGCGGCGGCUGCUUGAAUCCCCAGCGUAGCAGUGAUGGAAGAUGUCGGCCUUGAAUUCUUGCAGGAUACCGUCGACCCGAGGAGUUUGUCGACAGCCUUGAACACCCAGAUCCAGUACCUCUUGCAUUGUUAACGCCUGACGAAGCGAAUCCAGCUGGCCAGGAAGCCCGGAAUGUUGCAUCUGGAUGCGGCAGCAAGUUGACGGUGGUGGCGCUGGUAGGCCGAGCUGCGGCGACCGACGGUAGCGGGAGAUAUCACCCACUGCGUCCGCGCAAUCUAUUGACAGGGUAACCCAGAAACACCUGGAUGGACGAAGAGGAUAAUUGUUUUGUGUUGUUUACCGCUGUACGUUCAUUGACAUGCUCAGCCUGGGGCUAUAUUAAUUUAUUUUUGGUCUCACUUGAAUUAAUGAUGAAGCUAACUGAAAGCUUAGGCCUGUUACAUAUGCAUAUUGUUAUAUGAUGAUUAGGUGGCACAGCAUUUUAAAAUUUGUCUGAUGUACAUGUGAAAAGUUUCAGAUGUAGUAACGGUUAGCUUUAAAAAUUCAGGUUGGAUUAGUUUAUGUGCUCAAGAGAAACUAAUAAUUUUCUUGUGGAGGAGGCAUCAGGCAUUACAAAUCAUUGAACAUUAAGUUGUUUUCUUUUCUAGUUCUACCUCCUAGCUAUGUAGAAAAGAUAUCAUGUAUUGCUGCAAUUGAAAUCUUGAACUAGUUGCUAAGUUGACCAAAUAUGCAUUGGUACUAAAUAUGCACAUAGAUGUUCAGUAGCAUUUCUAACUAAAAUUGGAUUUUGGUUCUCACCAAAUCACUAGUUUUUGCUUUGAAAUGACCAUUCACAUGGCAGGCCCAAAAGGUACUCCCUCCGUAAACUAAUAUAAGAGCGUUUACAUCACUACUUUAGUGAUCUAAACGCUCUUGUAUUAGUUUACAGAGGGAGUACUUGGUAAGCUCAAAAAUUACAAGUCUCCAGGAGAAGCCCUCGGAUUUAGUUGUUAAGCCGAGGAACCACAAGGUCAGGCCAGGUUGACUGAGUCAGGUUGAAUAUUCAGUAUGUGCACACCUCUGCAUAUCAUAUUAGGUUGAAUAUUCACCACAUCACUAUCAUGUUCUGGUUUGUACUUUCCGGCUACCAUACCUGUGCAUAGCAUUGCUUUUUUCAUAUUGUUACUUGGUGAUGCUCAAAUUUAUUAUAUGUGCAAUUUUCAGAUCUAAAUUGCUCUUAAGUAAGCCCAGUUUCCAAUAAAAUGAUUUAUGAGGAAGAUUUUGGCUGCCAUAGAUGUGCAUAUUAUUUGUUUUCAUCAUUUUAUUACCCGAUGAUGACCAAAUUUACCUUGCAACUUCGGAUCUGAAUUGCAGUUCUAAAACUAAGCAUGUUCUCUAAAUAAGAGUUGUGAGAAUGACUGUGCAACAGGAGAACCCCUGUUGGUUAAAAGGAAUUACCCUUCUGUCUUGUGGCACAUGUGUGCCGGCCUGAAAGCUUUGGUGGUGAGCGGGGUUCCUUUCUCCGAGAAAAGGGACGGGUUAGGAUUUGAGGACCGCCUGGCAAUUCUGCCUGGUGGUAGAAUGGCAGGCAAUGGGGAGGUUGAUUUUGUGGGCACUAACGGUGCUUGUCGUGAAGAGUGGUGGCCGGUCUGCAAGUGUGAAUGCCCUACACGGUUUAGCUGCACCAGAUAAGCAGAGAGGUCUCGGACGUCCAACUAACAGCAGAGAGAAGGUUCCUUACGAGAGGCUGAGCAAGCGAAAAUGUUUCUGCAGCAUUUGUCAGCGCGAAGGUCACAAGCGAACCACCUGCCUUUAACUGGGGAUGACCCCAAGAAAUGACAAAAACAUGGCAAAUGCAAGAACUGUGGGAUGGAAGGACACCAACGGAACAUGUGCACACGGCCGCUUGUUAUAGCUGAGAAAAAUUUCAUGCUUGAUUCUGUAGAUUGCAAAACUCUGUAAGCUGAGGAUUUUCUGGUGUGUUUCAGCGAGCAUUUGCUCCACGCUUGUUCCUUUGAUUCAAUACAGUAGACAUGUUGAAUUAAUGAGUAAACUUUGUUGUUGUAGAUCAAUAAAUUGUUGGGGUUCACAUUUCUGAAUGCUUAAAUUGUCCACGUUUGAAA